GAUUUCUGGCUUGAAACAUUUUGCCGGCCACGGUUUCGUGUGUUAGUGCUUGAUGUUCUGGCCAUCCUUCCAAUCGCCAUCGGCUUAUCUUCAUUGAUCGGUCGGUGGUAUUGGAUCUUUUACUUUGAAAAAAUUAGAGUGUUUCAAGCAGGCUUUAUGCUAUGAAUACAUUAGCAUGGAAUAAUAAUUUAGGACUUUGGCCCUAUUUUGUUGGUUUCUAGGACUGAAGUAAUGAUUGAUAGGGAUAGUUGGGGGUGCUCGAAUUCAGCGGCCAGAGGUGAAAUUCUUGGAUUCGCUGAAGACGAACUCAUGCGAAAGCAUU
RNAcentral lists this ribosomal RNA (322 nucleotides) under uncultured Sandona. RNAcentral's name for it is "SSU rRNA". The stretch from base 110 to 322 matches the Rfam family "Eukaryotic small subunit ribosomal RNA", at positions 742 to 955 of the family's 1831-position model. The record is from RNAcentral. Lineage: Eukaryota; Cercozoa; Glissomonadida.